GCGCCCAUAGCUCAACUGGUAGAGCAGCUGACUCUUAAUCAGUUUGUUCGGGGUUCGACUCCCUGUGGGCGUACCA
This 76-nucleotide transfer RNA is filed under the name Candidatus Latescibacteria bacterium 4484_107. RNAcentral describes it as "tRNA-Lys". It matches the Rfam family "tRNA". Rfam says of the family: Transfer RNA (tRNA) molecules are approximately 80 nucleotides in length. Lineage: Bacteria; Pseudomonadati; Candidatus Latescibacterota. The record is from RNAcentral. RNAcentral also lists the same sequence under 2 other names.